Molecule: ribosomal RNA, 494 nt
Filed under: uncultured bacterium
Lineage: Bacteria
Description: partial 16S ribosomal RNA
Rfam family: Bacterial small subunit ribosomal RNA
Source: RNAcentral
GACGAACGCUGGCGGCGUGCUUAACACAUGCAAGUCGAACGGUGAAGCGCCUUCCUUUUUGGUGGGUGUGGAUGAGUGGCGAACGGGUGAGUAACACGUGAGUAACCUGCCCCCUUCUUCUGGAUAACCGCAUGAAAGUGUGGCUAAUACGGGAUAUUCUGGGUCUGUCGCAUGAUGGGUCUGGGAAAGAUAUUGUUUCGGUGGGGGAUGGGCUCGCGGCCUAUCAGCUUGUUGGUGGGGUGAUGGCCUACCAAGGCGGUGACGGGUAGCCGGCCUGAGAGGGUGGACGGUCACACUGGGACUGAGACACGGCCCAGACUACUACGGGGGGCAGCAGUGGAGAAUGUUGCACAAUGGGCGCAAGCCUGAUGCAGCGACGCCGCGUGAGGGAUGGAGGCCGUCGGGUUGUGAACCUCUUUCGCCAGUGAAGCAGGCCUGCCUCGUUUGUGGGUGGGUUGACGGUAGCUGGAUAAGAAGCGCCGGCUAAAUACGUG